GUAAACUCUGCAUGUGUACAUUGUGGUGGUCAGGAGGUGUGCCCUUGACUUUACUUACUGCCUAAGUCUUUGGCUAGUUCUGCAAGUAACCCUUAAAUCCAAAGGGAAUAAAGUAUAAAAAUCAGUCUUCUGAACACAUAGCACUUCAGCUGAUUAGCACAGAGAAAAAAAGAAUUAAUAAUGAGGAGAAAAAAAAGAUAGCCAGAAACUACAAACACCAGGGAGCCCGUUUCAGUGUUACUUGAAAAUAAAGCAACAAUAGCAAGACUAGUCAUCUCAUUAAAUAAUAAUUUGUUAUUUCCCUUUAAUGCUGCACGUGUUCUCUAACGGCUGUGACUUCUUAAGACAGUUGGACUAUAAUUUCCACAUAUUUAUCAAUAGGAAAGUUGUAUAACUUUUAAUGAGUCCUUGAACUGACCACCUGUGAACAAGAGGUAUUGUAAACCUUGUCUCUUGAAAUAUGAAAAAUAAUUUGAAUGUAAGUCUUCCUUUAUGUGGCUGAUCUGAAGUGAGUCUUGAAAUUACCGGCAGACAGCUCAGCCAAUGCUUCCUACAAAACUAAAACAUGUCUACCACUUAUGUCCAAUGGCACGAAGAUGUUCUUAUUUUCACAUUUGGAAAACUGCAGGUAAUUAAAGAAGUGAAAAUGUCUCUGUUUAUUGAAGAUUGAUUCUUUCAGUAUAAAGGCAAGCUGUUGUAUUUCCUUGUGAUCAGAGUCCAGCCACCAGGAGAACUUAACAGCUAUUGGAAAGUUCUCACGGUCCUUCAUGUCUACAUGAUUUGUAACUUGGAUGUCUUGUGACAAGAGAUAUGGAUUAUCUUCCAACUCUGAACGUGCUGCAGGAUCAAAAGGUAUGCACUGGAACUCCAGUACUCACUUUAAGAAGAAUAUAAAUGUGUUGGAUUCAUCUCCCAGUAUGAAGGGCUCUGCAAGAGAGAAUGGUGAAGAAGCCAGAAAGAAUUAGAAAGCACAACUGUGAACAGUUUUAACAGAAAUACUGCUAUAAUAAGCAAGGCAAAUCAUCCCUUCAUUCAGAUGGCAAUUACAACCCAGGUAACACAACGCUUCCCUGCUUUCAGCAGCACUACAUAGAUAACCUCUCUAUGAUGAAUAUAUUUUGAGCAAUUUUUCCCAUGUGCUGGCCUGAAGCAGGCUUUUCUUUGAUGCUAGACAUAAAUAUCCUACUGUAACUCUUGUCUUGCUCUUGCAUAAAUAAACUAUCUACCGG
Molecule: long non-coding RNA, 1229 nt
Filed under: Numida meleagris (helmeted guineafowl)
Lineage: Eukaryota; Metazoa; Chordata; Aves; Galliformes; Numididae
Description: lncRNA (ENSNMEG00000023116.1)
Source: RNAcentral